CACGGAAUUAGCCGGUCCUUAUUCAUGAGGUACAUGCAAUGGCGCACACGUGCGCCAAUUUAUUCCCACAUAAAAGCAGUUUACAACCCAUAGGGCCGUCAUCCUGCACGCUACUUGGCUGGUUCAGACUUGCGUCCAUUGACCAAUAUUCCUCACUGCUGCCUCCCGUAGGAGUUUGGACCGUGUCUCAGUUCCAAUGUGGGGGACCUUCCUCUCAGAACCCCUACUGAUCGUCGCCUUGGUGGGCCGUUGCCCCGCCAACAAGCUAAUCAGACGCAUCCCCAUCCCUUACCGGAAAACCUUUGUUUCAUAUCGGAUGCCGUCAAUGAAACACAUCGGGUAUUAGGCCGUCUUUCAACGGGGUAUCCCCGAAGUAAGGGGCAGGUUGGAUACGCGAUACUCACCCGUGCCGCCGGUCGACGUCCAGAAUGUGCAAGCACAUAAUCGCCGUUCCCCACGACUUGCAUGUGUUACGCUGAGCCAGCGUUCGACUCCUGACGCCAGGAUAACC
RNAcentral lists this ribosomal RNA (511 nucleotides) under uncultured Prevotella sp. Its description in RNAcentral is "partial 16S ribosomal RNA". The record is from RNAcentral. Lineage: Bacteria; Pseudomonadati; Bacteroidota; Bacteroidia; Bacteroidales; Prevotellaceae.